GUUAUCUCAUGCUGAAUACAUAGGCAUGCGAGGCGAACCAGGGGAACUGAAACAUCUAAGUACCCUGAGGAAAAGAAAUCAACCGAGAUUCCCUUAGUAGUGGCGAGCGAACGGGGACCAGCCCUUAAGUUGGUUUGAGAUUAGCGGAACGCUCUGGAAAGUGCGGCCAUAGUGGGUGAUAGCCCUGUACGCGAAAAUCUCUUGUCAAUGAAAUCGAGUAGGACGGGGCACGAGAAACCUUGUCUGAAUAUGGGGGGACCAUCCUCCAAGGCUAAAUACUACUGACUGACCGAUAGUGAACUAGUACCGUGAGGGAAAGGCGAAAAGAACCCCGGAGAGGGGAGUGAAAUAGAUCCUGAAACCGUAUGCGUACAAGCAGUGGGAGCAGACUUCGUUCUGUGACUGCGUACCUUUUGUAUAAUGGGUCAGCGACUUAUAUUCAGUGGCGAGCUUAACCGAAUAGGGGAGGCGUAGCGAAAGCGAGUCUUAAUAGGGCGUUUAGUCGCUGGGUAUAGACCCGAAACCGGGCGAUCUAUCCAUGGGCAGGUUGAAGGUUAGGUAACACUGACUGGAGGACCGAACCGACUACCGUUGAAAAGUUAGCGGAUGACCUGUGGAUCGGAGUGAAAGGCUAAUCAAGCUCGGAGAUAGCUGGUUCUCCUCGAAAGCUAUUUAGGUAGCGCCUCAUGUAUCACUGUAGGGGGUAGAGCACUGUUUCGGCUAGGGGGUCAUCCCGACUUACCAAACCGAUGCAAACUCCGAAUACCUACAAGUGCCGAGCAUGGGAGACACACGGCGGGUGCUAACGUCCGUCGUGAAAAGGGAAACAACCCAGACCGUCAGCUAAGGUCCCAAAAUCCUGGUUAAGUGGGAAACGAUGUGGGAAGGCUUAGACAGCUAGGAGGUUGGCUUAGAAGCAGCCACCCUUUAAAGAAAGCGUAAUAGCUCACUAGUCGAGUCGGCCUGCGCGGAAGAUGUAACGGGGCUCAAACCAGGUACCGAAGCUACGGGUAUCACCUUCUGGUGAUGCGGUAGAGGAGCGUUCUGUAAGCCUGUGAAGGUGAGUUGAGAAGCUUGCUGGAGGUAUCAGAAGUGCGAAUGCUGACAUGAGUAACGACAAUGGGUGUGAAAAACACCCACGCCGAAAGACCAAGGUUUCCUGCGCAACGUUAAUCGACGCAGGGUUAGUCGGUCCCUAAGGCGAGGCUGAAAAGCGUAGUCGAUGGAAAACAGGUUAAUAUUCCUGUACUUCUGGUUAUUGCGAUGGAGGGACGGAGAAGGCUAGGCCAGCUUGGCGUUGGUUGUCCAAGUUUAAGGUGGUAGGCUG
Molecule: ribosomal RNA, 1327 nt
Filed under: Pseudomonas coleopterorum
Lineage: Bacteria; Pseudomonadati; Pseudomonadota; Gammaproteobacteria; Pseudomonadales; Pseudomonadaceae
Description: partial 23S ribosomal RNA
Rfam family: Bacterial large subunit ribosomal RNA
Source: RNAcentral